GCGAGAAGAGGCGUCUGUUUGUCCCGGAGAAUCGGAGUCAGAGCGAGGCGGUGGGUGGGAGGAUUUGGAAACACUUUGUGGAUCCGCAAACCCUGAGGAAUAAUUGUCAGCUCCUGGUUUGCAGCUGCGGGGCUUCUCCCUCCCGGGAACAGGCCCAGGUUAACGGCCGCCAUCCUGGGUCAGCGAGUGGAGGAUGGUUCACAUCAGAGGAUGGGGGAGGGGGGACAAUAAAUAAGAGGUUACACUUUGGGCUCAAAUCAAUGAGGAAUCUGAUCUGUGGGAAGGAAGGAAACCCUGGGAGGUGGGCGGGGGGGAUUCAGAAACAUCCGCUAGAGGCCCCAAACCCCCAAUAAGACUCAUUGAUUUUAUUGUCAGUCUGCAGACAGGAGCUGGAGAACUGAACCCAGGCAGAGGAGAGGGAGGGAGAAAACUGGGAGUGGAGGAAAGAAAUGGAGGAGAUGGUGAGAUGGCUUUGGAUUUCAGCCCAGGGAGGAGGGAGAGUGUGUGGGAUGGGGAUUUACACCUUUGGGGAAACAAGAGAGGAAAAGAUGGUCCAUAGAAACUAGAAUUGUUUGUUCUGAAUUUCAAACCUUAACUUAAGGAGAUGAUUUUUGUGAUAACAUUUUACAGGGUAUUAGAAGAAUGCAAAACUCAAACUAAACAUCACAUCAAGAUCUGGUUGAGUCACUCGAUUAAUCAGGGCCUGAAUAUCAUCGGCAGUUGAAUGUGGAAGGAGAAAUGUUUGUCUGUCCUGUCUGUAGAAAAAGAUUUUGAACACCAAUGUGACUGGAAAAGCACAGAGGCACACAUACCUGAGGAGAAUGUUCCAGUGCACUGACUGUGGAAAGAGCUUUAACCAGUUACACAACCUGAAAAAAAAAUCACACCAUUCACAGUGAAUAGAAACCAUACACGUCUUCUGUGUAAACAAGGCUUCAACUCAUCAUUCAACCUGGAGAGACAUGAGGAUACCCACACCUUGGAGAAACCGUGGAAAUGUGGGGACUGUGGGAAGGGAUUCAAUUAUCCAUCUGAAUUGGAUAUUCAUCGACGCAGUCACACUGGAGAGAGGCCAUUCACCUGCUCUGAAUGUGGGAAGGGAUUUGCUUACUCAUCCAGUCUCUACACACACCACCGUGUUCAUACUGGUGAGAGGCCAUUCACCUGCCCCGAAUGUGGGAAGGGGUGUAAUGCUUUAUCAAACCUCCUGAUUCACCAGCAGGUUCAUUCUGAGCAGAGACCUUUUCAAUGUUCUGACUGUGAGAAGAGCUUUAAAAGCACAAAGGACCUGCAGAGACACCAACGCAUUCACAUGGAUGUGAGGCCUUUCACCUGUUCAGUGUGUGGAAAGGGAUUCACUCAGACAUCUCACCUUCUGACACACCAACUUGUUCACUCUGAUCAGAGACCUUUUCAGUGUUCUCACUGUGAGAAGAGUUUUAAAAGUAAAAAUGAUUUACAAGCCCACCAACGCACUCACACUGGGGAAAGGCCGUUCACCUGCUCCCUGUGUGAGAGACAAUUCAGACUUUUAUCCCAGCUGCUGACACACCAGCGAGUUCACUCUGAUAAGAGACCAUUCCAAUGUUCUGACUGUGAGAAGAGCUUUAAAAGCAAACAGGAUCUAGUGACACACCAGCGAGUUCACACUGGUGAGAAGCCAUUCACCUGCACUGUGUGUGGGAUGGGAUUCACCCGUUCAUCCCACCGUCUGAGACACCAGCGGGUUCACACCGGCGAGAGACCAUUCAUUUGCUUUGUGUGUGGGAAAGGAUUUACUGAUUCACCCCAUCUUCUGAUCCACCAGCGAAUUCACACUGGGGAGAGGCCAUUUACUUGCUCUACAUGUAGCAAGAGGUUCACUCAGUCAUCCCAGCUCGCUGAACAUCAACUUGUUCACACUGAUCAGAGACCUUUCAAAUGUUCUGAUUGUGAAAAGAGCUUUAAAAGCAAGAAGUAUCUGCGAACACACCAGCAAAUUCACACUGGGGAGAGACUUUUCACCUGCUCUGAGUGUGGGAAGGGAUUCACUCAGUCAUCCCACCUUUUGAGACACCAGCAGCUUCACACUGGGGAGAUGCCAUUCACUUGCUCCGUGUGCGGGAAGAGAUUUGCUCGUUCGUCCAACUUGCUGAGACACCAGCGAAUUCACAAGUGACUCCACAGGUUGGGUUCUGCUGUUAUUGCUGCUGUUAAUCACAUCCAAGACUGAACAAUGUUCAUUCUAAGAGUUAAGACCGGUUGUGGUGUAACCCUGUGUGUGAAUUCUGUCUCAUGGUGGUAACAUGGAACAUCGAGGUGAAAGAAGAACCCAGACCGAAGCUAUCUGAAGAACUAUACUGAACUGCACUGUGGGCUCAAAACACAAAACAUCACAGCCUUUCCAGAAUUAGCAAUGUCUGCAAAAUGAAUUAAAUUGUGCACUAGAACUGGCCUCGAACUGGGAGAAAAAUAGACACCUUUGGUGCUCAUCAGAGGUGAUAAAGGUGUCUGCAUGUACCAGCCUGGGGAUUGAUAACAGUGUAAGAGAUAACAAAGCAGAGUCAGGCUGGUUCUAUUCCUUCAAGCAUGACGAGGCCCAGGACAAAAGAACAAGGAAGAAGGCAAUGAUGUAAUUGAAAACCAAUUUUUAAACUUAUUCGUUUGUGGGAUGCGGAUGUCGCAGUGAGAAUUUAUUGCCCACCCCCCAUAUUGCCGUGGGACUGGAGUCACAUGUAGGCCAGACCAGAUAAGGAUGACAGAUUUCCUUUCCUAAUGGACGUUAGUGAACCAGGUGGGUUUUUAUGACAAUCAGCAAUGGUUGUUAGGGAAGGAAACAGUUAAAGAAGUUGAAUUGCUAAUUAUUAGGUUGUUUAACCAAGUCCCCAUUUGGUUGUGUAAAAGGGUUAACAGCUGAGACUAGUCCUAUAUGUCGGGAGUUUUAUGACAAGCAAUAAAAUUCUGAAGGAGUCUGUCUUGGUUUCGGUCUUCAUUUUUAAACAGCUGUUGGAGCUUAACAGUGUUGGAAGAGGAUGGUUCCUGCUUGUAAGCAAGAAGAUUGGAAACUAAGCUUUCUUUGGACAAAAGACUGUAUUUGGAGUUACCCUUAUGAGCAGAGUGGUUUCGAGUCACUCAAAAAAUAAAAACAAAAUGGAUGAAUUAAAA
This is a long non-coding RNA of Carcharodon carcharias (great white shark), 3144 nucleotides long. RefSeq lists it as uncharacterized. The transcript is spliced from 2 exons. The record is from RefSeq and is a predicted model, not a curated record. NCBI's taxonomy places the organism in Eukaryota, Metazoa, Chordata, Chondrichthyes, Lamniformes, Lamnidae.